Molecule: ribosomal RNA, 759 nt
Filed under: Haemophilus influenzae
Lineage: Bacteria; Pseudomonadati; Pseudomonadota; Gammaproteobacteria; Pasteurellales; Pasteurellaceae
Description: bacterial SSU rRNA
Rfam family: Bacterial small subunit ribosomal RNA
Source: RNAcentral
AUUGAACGCUGGCGGCAGGCUUAACACAUGCAAGUCGAACGGUAGCAGGAGAAAGCUUGCUUUCUUGCUGACGAGUGGCGGACGGGUGAGUAAUGCUUGGGAAUCUGGCCUAUGGAGGGGGGAUAACGACGGGAAACUGUCGCUAAUACCGCGUAUUAUCGGAAGAUGAAAGUGCGGGACUGAGAGACCGCAUGCCAUAGGAUGAGCCCAAGUGGGAUUAGGUAGUUGGUGGGGUAAAGGCCUACCAAGCCUGCGAUCUCUAGCUGGUCUGAGAGGAUGACCAGCCACACUGGAACUGAGACACGGUCCAGACUCCUACGGGAGGCAGCAGUGGGGAAUAUUGCGCAAUGGGGGGAACCCUGACGCAGCCAUGCCGCGUGAAUGAAGAAGGCCUUAGGGUUGUAAAGUUCUUUCGGUAUUGAGGAAGGUUGAUGUGUUAAUAGCACAUCAAAUUGACGUUAAAUACAGAAGAAGCACCGGCUAACUCCGUGCCAGCAGCCGCGGUAAUACGGAGGGUGCGAGCGUUAAUCGGAAUAACUGGGCGUAAAGGGCACGCAGGCGGUUAUUUAAGUGAGGUGUGAAAGCCCCGGGCUUAACCUGGGAAUUGCAUUUCAGACUGGGUAACUAGAGUACUUCAGGGAGGGGUAGAAUUCCACGUGUAGCGGUGAAAUGCGUAGAGAUGUGGAGGAAUACCGAAGGCGAAGCAGCCCCUUGGGAAUGUACUGACGCUCAUGUGCGAAAGCGUGGGGAGCAAACAGG